UUGUGUAAGAAGGAGCUGCCCGCUUCUCGCCUGAUUGACGCAAUUUGGCUGUUGACAGGUUACGAAUUCAUAAUCUAUUUUUCACAUUUUACAUGAUAAGUGAUAAUAGCGCGGGUCCUCUGCAUACCCGUGCUUUUUUGUUUUG
Bacillus sp. VT-16-64 is the source of this 145-nucleotide non-coding RNA. NCBI's taxonomy places the organism in Bacteria, Bacillati, Bacillota, Bacilli, Caryophanales, Bacillaceae. The record is from Rfam.